CGAGGUGUAGCGCAGUUUGGUAGCGCGCUUGGUUCGGGACCAAGAGGCCGUGGGUUCAAGUCCCGUCACCUCGACCA
This 77-nucleotide transfer RNA is filed under the name Clostridiales bacterium. Its description in RNAcentral is "tRNA-Pro". It matches the Rfam family "tRNA". From Rfam's summary of the family: Transfer RNA (tRNA) molecules are approximately 80 nucleotides in length. RNAcentral also lists the same sequence under 1 other name. Lineage: Bacteria; Bacillati; Bacillota; Clostridia; Eubacteriales. The record is from RNAcentral.